UUUUUUUUUUUUUUUUUUGUCUUUUUUGAGGGCUGCACAAGUGGCAUAUGGAGUUUCCCAGACUAGGGGUCGAAUUGGAGCUACAGCUGCUGGCCUAUGCCACAGCCACAGCAGCAGGGGGUCUGAGCCUCAUCAGCAACCAACACCACAGCUCACGGCGACACCAGAUACUUAAUCCACUGAGCAAAGCCAGGGAUCAAACCCUGCAUCCUUGUGGAUACUGGUGGGGUUUGUUAACCACUGAGCCAUGACAAGAACUCCCCCACCCCUGCAUCUUUCAAAUCUCCAAUGUCUUGGGAUAAUUUUUAUUGGAAUUUGGGGUUCCAUGUCAGUCCCCAUACCGUGAUAGGGAUAUGCUAUGGAUGCUUAACCAUUCACCUAUUGGAAGGGGGUUUUAUUCCUUAAAGUUGGGGGGGUAACAACGUGGGGUCCGGAGAGGUGUGGUCUCCCAUUGGCCUUAUUCAGUUCCCCAUAUCAGUCCUUGUCCAGUAGAGUCUUAGGGGUGGAAAUGUCCUGUAAGUCUCAUAGUUUCUUUGUCCUUCCCAUAAACUGAGGCACAGGGGAUUAGGGAUUACUGUCCAUCUGGGCGUAGGUUCACUCCCUAUAGUAAACAAGGCGUGUGGGGGUGUUACUCCCUGGAGCCUUUAAGCCACAAAUGUUAAUCAGUGGCCCCAUCAAAGAAGGGGGGAAGCCCAUGCUCCUACACGGACUCCCUGAGUUAGAAUUCUGUAUCAGUUACAUCUUAAUGGUACAAUCACUGAAACCUGGACAUCAGUAUUGUUGCAAUGCUAAGGAAAUUACAACCCACCAAAGUGAUAGGAAAAUUUCCAUAAACCUAAAACAUUUGAACAUUCAGCAGCUGCAAGCAAGAAACCUUUCUACCUGAAUUUAAACAAAGCCUCCUGAAAGUACAUCUGCCAGCAUGAAGAAACUUUGUCUUUUCUGCUGUAAAUCUGUCAGUCGUCAGUUAUUCCCAGCCUCCUUUCCAACCCCUACCAUUAGAACCAAGUCCACAGUCAAGGUAGGGAUUGAUAUAGUCAAGGCAAAGAGCUCUUUUUUCACAAGCAUUACUUAGAACGAGGAAAGGAAUUCUGUUACAAGUUAAGUUUCCCCCACUCCUUUCCCUGCCUCUUUGGUGAUGUGACCUUGCUUAGUUUCUCAUACCUCCUAAAGUGUGGCCUGAUUUAAAAAAAGAAAAAAAAAA
RNAcentral lists this long non-coding RNA (1204 nucleotides) under Sus scrofa (pig). RNAcentral's name for it is "lncRNA (ENSSSCG00005026359.1)". The record is from RNAcentral. Lineage: Eukaryota; Metazoa; Chordata; Mammalia; Artiodactyla; Suidae.